GAAACGUCCUGAGCCUUGCAGUUUCCCAACGCCUGCUGGGUAGCCACCUCUCUCAUGAACCUGGCAUUUUGGAGGUCAAGUUGCUGGUGGCCAGUUUGGUCGCCUUCCUAGCCAGAGAAGCCAGGAUGGCAGUGACAAAGCCAAAAGCAGGUUUGUUCUUAUUUUAAAGUGGGGAAUGGCUUCAAUGAUUCAUGCACGCUGGUAUUUAGAAUCCACAAGUUUUGCUGGCUAUGUUCUAUUAGAAUGUUUGUGGAAAACAUAAAAGGUUAGUACAGUUUGUGCAAGAACAGCAUGCAGGAUCAGGCCAGUGGUCUAUCCAGUCCAGUAUCCUCUUUGGAACCAGAGUGGGAAUCCCUAAAGAUGGUGGGAUUAUCUAGUGGGGUGAUAUCAAGCCGGGGCAGGGAGGGGAGUGGGGCUCUGGAGGUGUAAAUAACUACUUCUUCUUCUUCUCCUUCUCCUUCUUCUUCUUUGGCGGGCGAUUCCUCAUAACUGAGUAAGAUUGUCUUCCCUAAACAAGGUUUUAACAGUGAGUCCAUAAGCGACAGUGGAGACCAUUUCUGGAUCCACACAUCCUUCCACAGUGGGGACAUAGGUUUCCGAGCAGGAGUUGAUCACAGUGUGGAUUUGCCAAGUGUGCCUUCCUCUUAGUGCGUUUCUCCCUUGCGUCCUGAGUUCGAGCGUCUUCAAAACCCAUGACACCUUUGGUAAAAGCUGUUCUCCAAUUGGAGCACUCGCAGGCCAGUGUUUCCCCGUUGUCGGUGUUUAUACUACAUUUUUUUAGAUUUGCUUUGAGAGAGUCUUUGAACCUCUUUUGUUGACCACCAGCAUUACGCUUUCCAUUCUUAAGGUUGGAAUAGAGUAGUUGCUUUGGAAGAUGAUCAUCAGGCAUCCGCACAACAUGACCAGUCCAACGAAGUGGAUGUUGAAGAAUCAAUGCUUCAACACUGGUGAUCUUGGCUACUUCCAGUACACUGGUAUUAGUUUGCCUGUCUUCCCAGGUGAUGUUUAAAAUUUUCCGGAGACGCC
Molecule: non-coding RNA, 1026 nt
Organism: Podarcis lilfordi (Lilford's wall lizard)
Lineage: Eukaryota; Metazoa; Chordata; Lepidosauria; Squamata; Lacertidae
Source: the annotation of a GenBank genome assembly